GGAGGGUGUCCGGGUGGUUAGGAAGCGCACUCGAAAUGCGUCGCCCAGCAAUGGGUUGAGAGUUCGAAUCUCUUGCCCUCCGCC
RNAcentral lists this transfer RNA (84 nucleotides) under compost metagenome. RNAcentral describes it as "tRNA-Ser". It matches the Rfam family "tRNA". Rfam says of the family: Transfer RNA (tRNA) molecules are approximately 80 nucleotides in length. Their secondary structure includes four short double-helical elements and three loops (D, anti-codon, and T loops). Further hydrogen bonds mediate the characteristic L-shaped molecular structure. tRNAs have two regions of fundamental functional importance: the anti-codon, which is responsible for specific mRNA codon recognition, and the 3' end, to which the tRNAs corresponding amino acid is attached (by aminoacyl-tRNA synthetases). tRNAs cope with the degeneracy of the genetic code in two manners: having more than one tRNA (with a specific anti-codon) for a particular amino acid; and 'wobble' base-pairing, i.e. permitting non-standard base-pairing at the 3rd anti-codon position. The record is from RNAcentral.